RNAcentral lists this ribosomal RNA (450 nucleotides) under uncultured bacterium. Its description in RNAcentral is "partial 16S ribosomal RNA". It matches the Rfam family "Bacterial small subunit ribosomal RNA", at positions 329 to 793 of the family's 1533-position model. The record is from RNAcentral.
GUCCAGACUCCUACGGGAGGCAGCAGUGGGGGAUAUUGCACAAUGGGGGAAACCCUGAUGCAGCGACGCCGCGUGAGUGAAGAAGUAUUUCGGUAUGUAAAGCUCUAUCAGCAGGGAAGAAAAAAGACGGUACCUGACUAAGAAGCCCCGGCUAACUACGUGCCAGCAGCCGCGGUAAUACGUAGGGGGCAAGCGUUAUCCGGAUUUACUGGGUGUAAAGGGGGCGCAGACGGCAGCGCAAGCCAGGAGUGAAAGCCCGGGGCCCAACCCCGGGACUGCUCUUGGAACUGCGCGGCUGGAGUGCAGGAGGGGCAGGCGGAAUUCCUGGUGUAGCGGUGAAAUGCGUAGAUAUUAGGAGGAACACCAGUGGCGAAGGCGGCUUACUGGACGAUGACUGACGCUGAGGCUCGAAAGCGUGGGGAGCAAACAGGAUUAGAUACCCCCGUACGG